This 449-nucleotide ribosomal RNA is filed under the name uncultured bacterium. RNAcentral describes it as "bacterial SSU rRNA". It matches the Rfam family "Bacterial small subunit ribosomal RNA", at positions 329 to 794 of the family's 1533-position model. The record is from RNAcentral.
UUCCAGACUCCUACGGGAGGCAGCAGUGGGGGAUAUUGCACAAUGGGGGAAACCCUGAUGCAGCGACGCCGCGUGUGGGAAGACGGUCCUCUGGAUUGUAAACCACUGUCCCCAGGGACGAAAAUGACGGUACCUGGGGAGGAAGCUCCGGCUAACUACGUGCCAGCAGCCGCGGUAAUACGUAGGGAGCGAGCGUUAUCCGGAUUUACUGGGUGUAAAGGGAGCGUAGACGGACUUGCAAGUCUGAUGUGAAAAUCCGGGGCCCAACCCCGGAACUGCAUUGGAAACUGUAUAUCUAGAGUGUCGGAGAGGCAAGUGGAAUUCCUGGUGUAGCGGUGAAAUGCGUAGAUAUCAGGAGGAACACCAGUGGCGAAGGCGGCUUGCUGGACGAUGACUGACGUUGAGGCUCGAAAGCGUGGGGAGCAAACAGGAUUAGAUACCCCAGUAGA